Molecule: ribosomal RNA, 468 nt
Filed under: uncultured bacterium
Lineage: Bacteria
Description: partial 16S ribosomal RNA
Rfam family: Bacterial small subunit ribosomal RNA
Source: RNAcentral
GACGAACGCUGGCGGCGUGCUUAACACAUGCAAGUCGAACGGAAAGGCCCUGCUUUUGUGGGUUGCUCGUGUGGCGAACGGGUGAGUAACACGUGAGUAACCUGCCCUUGUCUUUGGGAUAACUUCAGGAAACUGGGGCUAAUACCGGAUAUGAGCUCCUGCUGCAUGUUGGGGGUUGGAAAGUUUCGGCGGUUCGGGAUGGAUUCGCGGCUUAUCAGCUUGUUGGUGGGGUAGUGGCUUACCAAGGUUUUGAAGGGUAGCCGGCCUGAGAGGGUGACCGGCGACAAUGGGACUGAGAUACGGACCAGAAGCCUACGGGAGGCAGCAGGGGGGAAUAUGGCACAAUGGGGGGAAGCCUGAGGCAGCAACGCUGGGAGCGGGAUGACGGGCUUCGGGUGGUAAACCGCUGUCGCCUGUGACGAAGCGGGAGUGACGGUAAUGGGUAAAGAAGCACCGGCUAACUACGUG